RNAcentral lists this long non-coding RNA (223 nucleotides) under Sorghum bicolor (sorghum). RNAcentral's name for it is "long non-coding RNA (SBIC_LNC009899)". Lineage: Eukaryota; Viridiplantae; Streptophyta; Magnoliopsida; Poales; Poaceae. The record is from RNAcentral.
ACUCAUGGACAGCUCGGGGAAGAAGAAGGAAAGGGAGAGGAUAAGGCUAACAUGCAGGCCUAGGAUGUCAGCGACUGGAAGAGAGGGAGAGCGCGCACAUAGGCCGGGGAACUAGGCCAGCUGGGCCGAGGUCACACGAGCGGCCUGCGAAUGGGAAAGGGAGUGGGAAAAUAGGUGGAAAAGCUGGGCCGCGUGAUUGCGAACAGAACCAGGCCUCCGGGCC